CGGGGUGUAGCGUAACUGGCUAACGUACUUGCUUUGGGAGCAAGGGAUUGCAGGUUCGAGUCCUGUCACCCCGA
This 74-nucleotide transfer RNA is filed under the name Candidatus Termititenax dinenymphae. It matches the Rfam family "tRNA". Rfam says of the family: Transfer RNA (tRNA) molecules are approximately 80 nucleotides in length. Their secondary structure includes four short double-helical elements and three loops (D, anti-codon, and T loops). The record is from Rfam by way of RNAcentral. Lineage: Bacteria; Bacillati; Candidatus Margulisiibacteriota; Candidatus Termititenacia; Candidatus Termititenacales; Candidatus Termititenacaceae.